GAGAUCAUCCCCUUGGAGCCAAGGGCAAAGGCAGGCCUCUCCCAGAAACAGUGGCAUCUGGACCAGAACGUGAUUUGCCCUGCCAUUCUAACUGUCCCAGGAGUCCUGGCUGAAGCCCCAGACAAGAAUGUGUUCAGCUGAUACCUUGUGUAGCUCCGAUGGACCAUCCCAGG
This 173-nucleotide long non-coding RNA is filed under the name Mustela putorius furo (domestic ferret). RNAcentral describes it as "lncRNA (ENSMPUG00000026113.1)". Lineage: Eukaryota; Metazoa; Chordata; Mammalia; Carnivora; Mustelidae. The record is from RNAcentral.